UUCUUUCAUGACAUUCAGUUAUUCACUUUGAUAACUGGUACUUUUGUCAAUUGAUUCUAUCCGAUUUUGGAUGGUUUUGAUGAGUUAACAUGAUUGUUGUCCUUGUAUGUGUUUCAACAUGUAGGUUCACGGAUAUUAUUCUGGAGAUGUUGAUGUGAAGGCCUGCUGAAGAGGCUGCUCUCAAAGCAAUUCGAGUUAUUGGUGCCUAAAUGAGAGGGUGCUUUUGGUCCAAGCAUUAGGCUUUCACGUGUGGAUGUGGUGGUAUUAUUUAAUAGUGAUUGCAGCCCGCCGAAUGACAUAAAGCCCUUCAUAGGAUCAACAUUGAUUCACAUUAUGGGCGGGUAAAUGUUUUCCGGUUAUAUUCAGCAUUCAUUGUUGAAGAGAUAACACCGAUUCUUUCAAAGAAAGGUACAACAGUUGGCAAUUUAUCAGGAGUGUCUCCCACCGGCUGUUAGCAUGGGACACAUCCUACUUAUUCCGUAAGCUCCAAAGCUGCACCGACUCUGGACCUCAGUCGUUUAUAGAUGAUUUGGUUCACGAGUUGCCAUCUGUGUUGAGGAACAUGAGUGUUAAAAUGGGUCUCCCACGAACCACUCAAUCAUAUUAAAUGCACACAUAAUGGAGUUUAUUCUAGAAGUAUCUUCCUAUUUAGUGAAACUUACACAAAAGAAAGUUCUGUUGAUUAGUACUUGACUGUAAUGUUAUCAACUUUAUUAACUAAACUUUAUGUCAUAUGUUUGAAUUAUAAUCAUCUUAUUGUUAUUU
Long non-coding RNA from Helianthus annuus (common sunflower), 765 nucleotides. RefSeq lists it as uncharacterized. The record is from RefSeq and is a predicted model, not a curated record. NCBI's taxonomy places the organism in Eukaryota, Viridiplantae, Streptophyta, Magnoliopsida, Asterales, Asteraceae. The transcript has 2 exons.